This 610-nucleotide ribosomal RNA is filed under the name Aspergillus terreus. RNAcentral describes it as "eukaryotic LSU rRNA". The stretch from base 216 to 369 matches the Rfam family "5.8S ribosomal RNA". The record is from RNAcentral. Lineage: Eukaryota; Fungi; Ascomycota; Eurotiomycetes; Eurotiales; Aspergillaceae.
UUUCCGUAGGAAUGAGGCACGAUCAUUACCGAGUGCGGGUCUUUAUGGCCCAACCUCCCACCCGUGACUAUUGUACCUUGUUGCUUCGGCGGGCCCGCCAGCGUUGCUGGCCGCCGGGGGGCGACUCGCCCCCGGGCCCGUGCCCGCCGGAGACCCCAACAUGAACCCUGUUCUGAAAGCUUGCAGUCUGAGUGUGAUUCUUUGCAAUCAGUUAAAACUUUCAACAAUGGAUCUCUUGGUUCCGGCAUCGAUGAAGAACGCAGCGAAAUGCGAUAACUAAUGGUAUUCCGAGAAUUCAGUGAAUCAUCGAGUCUUUGAACGCACAUUGCGCCCCCUGGUAUUCCGGGGGGCAUGCCUGUCCGAGCGUCAUUGCUGCCCUCAAGCCCGGCUUGUGUGUUGGGCCCUCGUCCGGGGGCAUGCGGGGGACGGGCCCGAAAGGCAGCGGCGGCACCGCGUCCGGUCCUCGAGCGUAUGGGGCUUCGUCUUCCGCUCCGUAGGCCCGGCCGGCGCCCGCCGACGCAUUUAUUUGCUAUGGGGCUUUUCCAGGUUGACCCUCGGAUCACGUAGGGAUACCCGCUGAACUUAAGCAUAUCACUAAAAACAGAGAGAA